GUUGACCUCGGAUCAGGUAGGAAUACCCGCUGAACUUAAGCAUAUCAAUAAGCGGAGGAAAAGGAACCAACAGGGAUUGCCCCAGUAACGGCGAGUGAAGCGGCAACAGCUCAAAUUUGAAAUCUGGCCCCAGGCCCGAGUUGUAAUUUGCAGAGGAUGCUUUUGGCGCGGUGCCUUCCGAGUUCCCUGGAACGGGACGCCAUAGAGGGUGAGAGCCCCGUACGGUUGGACACCAAGCCUUUGUAAAGCUCCUUCGACGAGUCGAGUAGUUUGGGAAUGCUGCUCUAAAUGGGAGGUACAUUUCUUCUAAAGCUAAAUAUUGGCCAGAGACCGAUAGCGCACAAGUAGAGUGAUCGAAAGAUGAAAAGCACUUUGAGAAGAGGGUUAAACAGCACGUGAAAUUGUUAAAAGGGAAGCGCUUGUGACCAGACUUGCGUCCGGUGAAUCACCCAGCUCUCGCGGCUGGGGCACUUCGCCGGCACAGGCCAGCAUCAGCUUGCCGUCGGGGACAAAAGCUUCAGGAACGUGGCUCCUCUCGGGGAGUGUUAUARCCUGUUGCAUAAUACCCUUCGGCGGGCUGAGGUACGCGCUCCGCAAGGAUGCUGGCGUAAUGGUCAUCAGCGAC
RNAcentral lists this ribosomal RNA (625 nucleotides) under Colletotrichum nymphaeae. RNAcentral's name for it is "eukaryotic LSU rRNA". It matches the Rfam family "Eukaryotic large subunit ribosomal RNA", at positions 1 to 648 of the family's 3401-position model. The record is from RNAcentral. Lineage: Eukaryota; Fungi; Ascomycota; Sordariomycetes; Glomerellales; Glomerellaceae.